AUUGACCGCUGGCGGCAGGCCUAACACAUGCAAGUCGAGCGGAUGAAGGGAGCUUGCUCCUGGAUUCAGCGGCGGACGGGUGAGUAAUGCCUAGGAAUCUGCCUGGUAGUGGGGGAUAACGUCCGGAAACGGGCGCUAAUACCGCAUACGUCCUGAGGGAGAAAGUGGGGGAUCUUCGGACCUCACGCUAUCAGAUGAGCCUAGGUCGGAUUAGCUAGUUGGUGGGGUAAAGGCCUACCAAGGCGACGAUCCGUAACUGGUCUGAGAGGAUGAUCAGUCACACUGGAACUGAGACACGGUCCAGACUCCUACGGGAGGCAGCAGUGGGGAAUAUUGGACAAUGGGCGAAAGCCUGAUCCAGCCAUGCCGCGUGUGUGAAGAAGGUCUUCGGAUUGUAAAGCACUUUAAGUUGGGAGGAAGGGCAGUAAGUUAAUACCUUGCUGUUUUGACGUUACCAACAGAAUAAGCACCGGCUAACUUCGUG
RNAcentral lists this ribosomal RNA (484 nucleotides) under uncultured bacterium. Its description in RNAcentral is "partial 16S ribosomal RNA". It matches the Rfam family "Bacterial small subunit ribosomal RNA", at positions 30 to 507 of the family's 1533-position model. The record is from RNAcentral.